ACACAACUCCUGCCGAUGGAUAUCUUGGCUCUCGCAACGAUGAAGAACGCAGCGAAAUGCGAUACGUAGUGCGAAUUGCAGAAUUCAGUGAAUCAUCGAAACUUUGAACGCAAAUGGCGCUUCGCGGUUCCGCCGGGAAGCAUGUCUCUUCGAGUGGCGUCA
This 162-nucleotide ribosomal RNA is filed under the name Coccolithus pelagicus. RNAcentral describes it as "5.8S ribosomal RNA". It matches the Rfam family "5.8S ribosomal RNA". Rfam says of the family: 5.8S ribosomal RNA (5.8S rRNA) is a component of the large subunit of the eukaryotic ribosome. The record is from RNAcentral. Lineage: Eukaryota; Haptophyta; Coccolithales; Coccolithaceae. RNAcentral also lists the same sequence under 1 other name.